This 718-nucleotide ribosomal RNA is filed under the name Pseudomonas libanensis. Its description in RNAcentral is "bacterial SSU rRNA". It matches the Rfam family "Bacterial small subunit ribosomal RNA", at positions 64 to 765 of the family's 1533-position model. The record is from RNAcentral. Lineage: Bacteria; Pseudomonadati; Pseudomonadota; Gammaproteobacteria; Pseudomonadales; Pseudomonadaceae.
GAGCGGACAGAAGGGAGCUUGCUCCCGGAUGUUAGCGGCGCACGUGUGAGUAACACGUGGGUAACCUGCCUGUAAGACUGGAAUAUCUCCGGAAAACCGGAGCUAAUACCGGAUAGUUCCUUGAACCACAUGGUUCACGGAUGAAAGACGGUUUCUGCUGUCACUUACAAAUGGACCCGCGGCGCAUUAGCUAGUUGGUGAGGUAAUGGCUCACCAAGGCGACGAUGCGUAGCCGACCUGAGAGGGUGAUCAGCCACACUGGGACUGAAACACGGCCCAAACUCCUACGGGAGGCAGCAGUAGGGAAUAUUCCGCAAUGAACCAAAGUCUGACGGAGCAACACCGCGUGAGUGAGGAAGGUUUUCGGAUCGUAAAGCUCUGUUGUUAGGGAAAAACAAGUGCGAGAGUAACUGCUCGCACCUUGACGGUACCUAACCAGAAAGCCACGGCUAACUACGUGCCAACAGCCGCGGUAAUACGUAGGUGGCAAGCGUUGUCCGGAAUUAUUGGGCGUAAAGGGCUCGCAGGCGGUUUAUUAAGUCUGAUGAGAAAGCCCCCGGCUCAACCGGGGAGGGUCAUUGGAAACUGGGAAACUUGAGUUCAGAAGAGGAGAGUGGAAUUUCCCGUGUAGCGGUGAAAUGGGUAGAGAUUUGGAGGGACUCCAGUGGCGAAGGCGACUCUCUGGUCUGUAUCUGACCCUGAGGAUCGAAAGCCUGGG